AGAAGGGAGCUGCUGUCUGAGGAGGAAACUGCAUCUUCGCGGGCCAGCUACGAGAGGAUCUGGGGUCGCGCUGGGCGCCCGACGGACCCUCCCCAGGGACUCGCCUGCCCCACACCGCCCGGCCUUGCCCGGCGCUCCGCGUCAGGUUCCCCAGCCGCAGCCUUACCUACGGGCUCCAGAAUCCUCAGGGCUUCCAGAGGAUGCUCAGCCCACCGACGGGGACCUCGGGGCAGCAGUGAGGGGGGCACCCAGCCCCCCAUUCAGCUCCUGUCCUCUUGGGCCGGGGGCCUCCCCGGGGGGAAGAGCAUGGUGGUUUUCCCUUGGAGCCCCCUGGCUUGGUACGUCUGAGAAGAUGCCUGCCAUGAGGCUCUUCACUUGCUUCCUGCAGCUUCUGGCUGGGCUGGCACUGCCGGCUGUGCCCCCCCAGCAGUGGGCCUUGUCUGCUGGGAACAGCUCAUCGGAGGUGGAAGUGGUGCCCUUCCAGGAGGUGUGGGGCCGCAGCUACUGCCGGGCGCUGGAGAGGCUGGUGGACAUCGUGUCUGUGUACCCCAGUGAGGUGGAGCACAUGUUCAGCCCGUCCUGCGUCUCCCUGCUGCGCUGCACCGGCUGCUGUGGCGACGAGAACCUGCACUGUGUGCCCGUGGAGACGGUCAAUGUCACCAUGCAGCUCCUGAAGAUCCGCUCUGGGGACCGGCCCUCCUACGUGGAGCUGACAUUCUCUCAGCACGUGCGCUGCGAGUGCAGGUGGGUCCUGGGGUGUGGCAGGGACAGUCCCCACGCACUUGGCAGCUUCAGCCCAGGGGCUGCCCAUUCCUGCUUCAGGCCACACUUCCUUCCUGGCUGAGGCAGGCCAGGGAGACCGGGGGCCAGGGGCAGUUGCCUUGUGUCUCCCCAGCAGCUGGUUUUGCCCCGGGAAGUGGUCCCAGCAGCUGGAGCACAGCUGCCAAGAAGCCACAGGGACAAAGGGAGCUGGGGUCCCUCCCAGACUUGCAGGGGGCUCGGGGCCCACCCUCUCCGACCCUGAGCAGGAGGUGGCUGCCACAGCCCUAGCAGAGGUGCCUGGAUUUAGUUGUAGGCCAGGCUGGUGCCUACAGGAGGGGUAGCUGGGCUGAGAAGCACAAGACGACAAGCCUGGGUGGGAGGAAAGGGACAGAGGGAAGAAGGCCCUGGCUUUCUUUCAAGUCACACCCCUGCCUGGCAGAGCCUCUCAUUGGCACCAGUCUUGCUGUGGGUGCCCAAGGCACUCUGCACGUUAGUUACCGGGAGCAGCAGGGCCAGCACUGCCAACCAGGCUCAGGGAAGAGAAAAAUGGGCUCAGGUGCUCUCCUGGUGCCCCUCAGCCAUGGAUGGAGGCGCCAGGCCAGAGGUCCCAAGCCCUAUCGGGGGGCAGGAAGAGGGGAGGAUCUCCAUUUAUGGGGCACCUACUCUGUGCCUUGAGGCACUUGAAUGUGUUUUCUCAUUUAUUUAACAAACAUCUAUGGAGCACCUACUGUAUGCUAGGCACUGUCCCAGAUGCCUGGGUACAGUAGUGAGCAAGACACACCAGGUCCCUGCUCUCAUAACAACCCCAGGAGGUAGGUACUAUUGGCGUCCCAUUGUGCGGAUGAGGAAACCGAGGCUCGGUGUGAUUCUGUGAUUUGUCACAGCUAGUGAGUCAACCCCAGCCUGUCUGACUCCUAAGCCUGCCCCUUUCCUGCUCCCUGUCAUGGCCAUGGCCUCACUCUUCAGGAGUCCCAGACUGCCCUGGCCUUGGUCCUGCCUAGAGUCCAGGACACUGGCCACCCCUCGUGGACCUGUACCACUGUUAGAGGCCCUGCCUCAGUCUGUUUCCUCCUGUCUGUCCUUAGCCGUGUAACAAUAGUUCAGUAAUGAACCCUUUCAGACACAGUACUGGACAAUGACCUUUCACCUCCCACAUCACCUUUGCCCUCACAGUUGGUCUAUUAGGGCAGGUAGAUGAGGAGACUGAGGGCCCUAGAGUGUCUCUGACUGGUCCCAGAUGGCAGAGACAGGACCAGGCAGUUUCAGGAAGGGCUGGUACCGUAUCCUGGCUCCCCCCAGCCCUAAAGCUGACUGCACCACACUGCCCCAUGCCCUCACCCUGGUUCCCAGGGAAGACUGAGGCUCCGUCCCCUUUCAGAGGGCUGGGCAACAGGGCUACCUUUCUCCUCUCUCGGGGUCAACAGCCACAGCCCUGAGAGGCAGAGCCAGGACAAGCUUGGCGACUGUGGGGCCUGUGCUCCCCUCCCUUCACCCCACUCCUCACCUGAGCCCCUUGCUGUUGCCUGCAGCGUCACACAUCUCCAGGAUGGGGGUGCAGCUGUGCCCUGACAGGUGGCCUUGCCCCUCUUUCAUGGUCUGAGGAGACUCCCAGAGGGCAUUCUGGAAGGAAGAGCAGGCACAAGGGAAGAGAGUGAAACAAGAAAGGUGGCAGAAAGGAGAGUCAGUCCCCUGAUUUGACGCCAAGAGGGAGAGUAGAGCAGAGGGUGUGGAGAGGACCCCAAGAGGGCAUUCACACCUCUCUGCAUGGGGUCACCAGAGCCUAGAGUGGGAGCCCCAGGCCCCAGACUUCUGGGCAUCGCUCCCUCACCUCUGCGGGAGAAGAUGAAGCCAGAAAGGAGGAGACCCAAGGGCAGGGGGAAGAGGAAGAGAGAGAAGCAGAGACACACAGACUGCCACCUGUGCGGUGAUACUGUUCCCCGGAGGUAACCAGCCCCUCGGAGGAGAGAGACGGAGACCCCACGCCCGGCUCGUGUAUUUAUUACCGUUACACUCUCAGUUACCUCCCUGCUGGCACCUGCCCUCUAUUUAUUAGCCAAGUGUAUCCCUGCUGAAUGACUCACUCCCUUCAAGAUGAGGGGCAGGAAGGGACAGGACCCUCAGGAAUUCAGUGCCUUAAACAGAACGUGAGAGAAAGAAAGAAGACAGAUCCACGCGUGCGUCAUCUGGGGAAGAAGCAAGACUUGUGGCUUUGUGAGGGGCGUGUCACACCCCAGAGGCCUGAGGGUCUCCAGGGUGCUGGAGAGGGAGGGACGGGGGGGACAUGCCACCUGUCCCCAGGGCCUUGGGCUCUGCCGGGACCAGCAGCCCUUGCCUGGGGAGCUCCCUGCCGGGAUGAGGGUGGAGGAGCCUUCUCUGGCCGCCGUGGCCCCUGCCGGGAGGGCGGGCAAGCAGCAGCCCCGCGCCCUGGAGACAGGAUGUUCAGCUCUGGAGACCAGUGGUUGCCUGGGGGCCUUUGCCACUCCUUGUCCCCUAGGUCUCGCCUCAUAUCUUACCACCGCUUGUGCUGGGACAUUGCUCUUUAUGCCAAGGCAUCCCCACCUGCCCCUCUCGGGGACGCAGGCAGAGAGGGCCCAGGCUGGUCAUGGAGCAAGCUGUCCCCGCGAGGCCGUCUGACCGCCAAGCCAGAUUCUCUUGAAUAAAGUACUCUAGUCUGGAAGCGGCUUUCCAGGGGAGUGAGUGUGACCACGAGAGCAGAGGGCAACAGCGGGAAUGGGAGCAGUACGGGACAAAAAGGAACCGUGGGCCGCAAGGCUGCCCAUGGCCCGGCUCCAGCCUGCCCCUGCCCUUCCCUGGCCUUCUUCUUCCAGCUGCUUUAGGCACCACCCUGAGGCCCAUGCCUCCCAGAAAGAGGGUUUCCUAAGAUGGAGCCUUGGCCCCAAACUUGGGGGCACCUGACCCCGGUCAACCCCAAACACUCUCAAAUUCAAGAACAUGGUCCCGGAGUUCCCGUUGUGGCACCGCGGAAACAAAUCCGACUAGGAACCAUGAGGUUGCGGGUUCGAUCCCUGGCCUUGCUCAGUGGGUUGCGGAUCCAGCGUUGCUGUGAGCUGUGGUGUAGGUCGCAGACGCAGCUCGGAUCCCAAGUUGCUGAGGCUGUGGUGUAGGCCAGCCCCUGCAGCUCUGCUUUGACCCCUAGCCUGGAAACCUCCCUAUGCUGUGGUAUGGCCCUAAAAAGC
This 3959-nucleotide long non-coding RNA is filed under the name Sus scrofa (pig). RNAcentral describes it as "lncRNA (ENSSSCG00025050432.1, ENSSSCG00065018367.1)". The record is from RNAcentral. Lineage: Eukaryota; Metazoa; Chordata; Mammalia; Artiodactyla; Suidae.